UGCAUGGUCCCGAUGAAACGGAGUACAAACC
RNAcentral lists this non-coding RNA (31 nucleotides) under Rattus norvegicus (Norway rat). The record is from RNAcentral. Lineage: Eukaryota; Metazoa; Chordata; Mammalia; Rodentia; Muridae.